CCUACGGGGGGCAGCAGUGAGGAAUAUUGGUCAAUGGGCGGAAGCCUGAACCAGCCAAGUAGCGUGCAGGAUGACGGCCCUACGGGUUGUAAACUGCUUUUAUACGGGAAUAACGCGCCUUACGUGUAGGGCUUUGCAUGUACCGUAUGAAUAAGGACCGGCUAAUUCCGUGCCAGCAGCCGCGGUAAUACGGAAGGUCCGGGCGUUAUCCGGUUUUUUUGGGUUAAAGGGGAGCGUGUCCGCAUGUCAAGCGUGCUGUGAAAUGUCCGGGCUCAACCCGGGCCUUGCAGCGCGAACUGGCUUGCUUGAGUCCGCGGAAGGCAGGCGGAAUUCGUCGUGUAGCGGUGAAAUGCUUAGAUAUUACGAAGAACCCCGAUUGCGAAGGCAGCUUGCUGCAGCGGAACUGACGCUGAUGCUCGAAAGCGCGGGUAUCGAACAGGAUUAGAUACCCGGGUAGUC
RNAcentral lists this ribosomal RNA (459 nucleotides) under uncultured bacterium. RNAcentral describes it as "partial 16S ribosomal RNA". It matches the Rfam family "Bacterial small subunit ribosomal RNA", at positions 338 to 795 of the family's 1533-position model. The record is from RNAcentral.